AACGCACAUUGCGCCCGCCAGCACUCUGGCGGGCAUGCCUGUCCGAGCGUCAUUUCAACCCCCCAGAUGAAAAUUCUGGCGUUGGGGCUACCGCGGCAAGGCGGCGCCCUGAAAGCGAGCGGCGGGACCACUGGCACCCCUGGCGUAGUAACUUACAAUCGCCUAGGGCUUUAGUUGCUGGCGUCGUCCCUGCCCCUAACGUACCUAACAAUUAAGAGGUUGACCUCGGAUCAGGUAGGGAUACCCGCUGAACUUAA
This 257-nucleotide unclassified non-coding RNA is filed under the name uncultured fungus. RNAcentral describes it as "sequence contains ITS2". Lineage: Eukaryota; Fungi. The record is from RNAcentral.